RNAcentral lists this long non-coding RNA (746 nucleotides) under Olea europaea subsp. europaea. Lineage: Eukaryota; Viridiplantae; Streptophyta; Magnoliopsida; Lamiales; Oleaceae. The record is from RNAcentral.
UCUCGGUUUGCAACGAUAUAACCUGGACUUUGAAGGGUUGGUUUUAUGAUUGUGAAUGAGAUUGGCUAUAUUAAUUCUCCAUACUCCGCAUGCAUCUACAGGUGCAAUCAGCCUAGCUUUACAACCUGUUUGAAUGGUAGUUUGCGGCUUCAUAGAACCGCUUGUGGUACUACUCCUUCGACCAUCACGGCUACAUGUAAACACAACAUAUCUCACAAUUCCGUCAUCAUCCUUUUGCGAGUUUCUUUUCCUAACCGGGAAGCCCACGUUGUACGCAUAUCUUUUGUAAAAAUCAAACAUUUCUUUUUCAUCAUCGAGCUUCAUACCUACCUUGGGCACAAUCAUACAAUCUAAUCCUGCAGUUCCAUCAUCCACUAAGUUAACACUUUCCAACAUAUUGUUGUUAUCUGAUUCUAACAAGAUAUCAUUCUUCACCUCUUCCGAAAUUUCUUUCGCUGCCACAAAAAAGGAAAAAUUAUAACGAACACAAGUACCUGCAUAUAAUUCAUCCUUGGAACACAAGUACUCGAACAUUGCUUGCUGCAAAUUAGUAUGACUAGGUCUAGCAUUUUUUUAUAUACCAGACUUCCUUCAUUUCACUAAGUAAGGGUGUAGAAUCUAGGACAUGUUUAUUCAACCCAAAGAUCAUUUAAGAUGGUCCUAAACAUUUGAGCCCAAAACACCCGAUUUUGAUGCAGUUUCUAGGGUCCAAAACUGUAUCAAAUUGGACAAACGAUACCAAAAUU